Molecule: transfer RNA, 72 nt
Filed under: Lachnospiraceae bacterium
Lineage: Bacteria; Bacillati; Bacillota; Clostridia; Lachnospirales; Lachnospiraceae
Description: tRNA-Arg
Rfam family: tRNA
About the family: Transfer RNA (tRNA) molecules are approximately 80 nucleotides in length. Their secondary structure includes four short double-helical elements and three loops (D, anti-codon, and T loops).
Source: RNAcentral
GUUCCCUUAGUUAAAUGGAUAUAACACCGCCCUCCUAAGGCAGAAUUGUAGGUUCGAUUCCUACAGGGAACG